RNAcentral lists this ribosomal RNA (253 nucleotides) under uncultured bacterium. RNAcentral's name for it is "partial 16S ribosomal RNA". It matches the Rfam family "Bacterial small subunit ribosomal RNA", at positions 524 to 776 of the family's 1533-position model. The record is from RNAcentral.
UACGUAGGGUGCGAGCGUUGUCCGGAAUUACUGGGCGUAAAGCGUACGUAGGCGGCUUUGUAAGUUAGAGGUGAAAGCCCGGGGCUCAACCCCGGAAUUGCCUUUAAGACUGCAUCGCUUGAAUCGCGGAGAGGUGAGUGGAAUUCCGAGUGUAGAGGUGAAAUUCGUAGAUAUUCGGAAGAACACCAGUGGCGAAGGCGGCUCACUGGACGCGUAUUGACGCUGAGGUACGAAAGCGUGGGGAGCAAACAGG